RNAcentral lists this ribosomal RNA (806 nucleotides) under Bacillus cereus. RNAcentral describes it as "bacterial SSU rRNA". It matches the Rfam family "Bacterial small subunit ribosomal RNA", at positions 56 to 846 of the family's 1533-position model. The record is from RNAcentral. Lineage: Bacteria; Bacillati; Bacillota; Bacilli; Caryophanales; Bacillaceae.
UGCAGUCGAGCGAAUGGAUUAAGAGCUUGCUCUUAUGAAGUUAGCGGCGGACGGGUGAGUAACACGUGGGUGACCUGCCCAUAAGACUGGGAUAACUCCGGGAAACCGGGGCUAAUACCGGAUAACAUUUUGAACCGCAUGGUUCGAAAUUGAAAGGCGGCUUCGGCUGUCACUUAUGGAUGGACCCGCGUCGCAUUAGCUAGGUGGAGAGGUAACGGCUCACCAAGGCGACGAUGCGUAGCCAACCUGAGAGGGUGAUCGGCCACACUGGGACUGAGACACGGCCCAGACUCCUACGGGAGGCAGCAGUAGGGAAUCUUCCGCAAUGGACGACAGUCUGACGGAGCAACGCCGCGUGAGUGAUGAAGGCUUUCGGGUCGUAGAACUCUGUUGUUAGGGAAGAACAAGUGCUAGUUGAAUAAGCUGGCACCUUGACGGUACCUAACCAGAAAGCCACGGCUAACUACGUGCCAGCAGCCGCGGUAAUACGUAUGUGGCAUGCGUUAUCCGGAAUUAUUGGGCGUAAAGCGCGCGCAGGUGGUUUCUUAAGUCUGAUGUGAAAGCCCACGGCUCAUCCGUGGAGGGUCAUUGGAAACUGGGAGACUUGAGUGCAGAUAGGAAGUGGAAUUCCAUGUGUAGCGUUAAAUGCGUACAGAUAUGGAGGAACACCAGUCGCGACGCGACUUUCUGGUCUGUACUGACACUGGAGGCGCGAAAGCCGUAGGGAGCAAACAGGAUUAGAUCCUCUGGUAGUUCACGCCGUAAACGAUGAGUGCUAGGGAUCGAGGUUUCCGCCCUUCAGGGCU